GAAAUGCGAUAAGUAAUGUGAAUUGCAGAAUUCAGUGAAUCAUCGAGUCUUUGAACGCACAUUGCGCCCGCCAGUAUUCUGGCGGGCAUGCCUGUUCGAGCGUCAUUUCAACCAUCAAGCCCCCGGCUUGUGUUGGGGACCUGCGGCUGCCCGCAGGCCCUGAAAAACAGUGGCGGGCUCGCUGUCACACCGAGCGUAGUAGCAUACAUUCUCGCUCAGGGCGUGCUGCGGGUUCCGGCCGUUAAACGACCUUCAUAACCCAAGGUUGACCUCGGAUCAGGUAGGAAGACCCGCUGAACUUAAGC
RNAcentral lists this unclassified non-coding RNA (305 nucleotides) under plant metagenome. RNAcentral's name for it is "partial contains 5.8S ribosomal RNA, internal transcribed spacer 2, and large subunit ribosomal RNA". The stretch from base 1 to 105 matches the Rfam family "5.8S ribosomal RNA", at positions 50 to 154 of the family's 154-position model. The record is from RNAcentral.